Molecule: ribosomal RNA, 465 nt
Filed under: uncultured bacterium
Lineage: Bacteria
Description: partial 16S ribosomal RNA
Rfam family: Bacterial small subunit ribosomal RNA
Source: RNAcentral
CCUACGGGUGGCAGCAGUGGGGAAUAUUGCGCAAUGGGCGAAAGCCUGACGCAGCGACGCCGCGUGAGGGAUGAAGGUCUUCGGAUCGUAAACCUUUGUCAGCAGGGAAGAACGGUCACUGUGCUAAUCAGCAGUGAAUUGACGGUACCUGCAAAGGAAGCACCGGCUAACUCCGUGCCAGCAGCCACGGUAAUACGGAGGGUGGGAGCGUUAAUCGGAAUUACUGGGCGUAAAGGGCUCGUAGGUGGUAUGUUAAGUCAAGGGUGAAAUGCUCGGGCCCAAGGUGGGAACUGCCUUUGAAACUGGCAAACUGGAGUGUGUGAGAGGUGAGUGGAAUGCCAGGUGUAGGAGUGAAAUCCGUAGAUAUCUGGAGGAACAUCAGUGGCGAAGGCGACUAUCUGGCACAUAACUGACGCUGAGGAGCGAAAGCGUGGGUAGCAAACAGGAUUAGAUACCCUGGUAGUC